GACGAACGCUGGCGGCGUGCCUAAUACAUGCAAGUCGAACGAGAGCGACCGGUGCUUGCACUGGUCAAUCUAGUGGCGAACGGGUGAGUAACACGUGGGUAACCUGCCCAUCAGAGGGGGAUAACAUCCGGAAACGGAUGCUAAAACCGCAUAGGUCUUCGAACCGCAUGGUUUGAAGAGGAAAAGAGGCGCAAGCUUCUGCUGAUGGAUGGACCCGCGGUGCAUUAGCUAGUUGGUGAGGUAACGGCUCACCAAGGCCGUGAUGCAUAGCCGACCUGAGAGGGUGAUCGGCCACAUUGGGACUGAGACACGGCCCAAACUCCUACGGGAGGCAGCAGUAGGGAAUCUUCCGCAAUGGGCGAAAGUCUGACGGAGCAACGCCGCGUGAGUGAAGAAGGUUUUCGGAUCGUAAAACUCUGUUGUUAGAGAAGAACAAGUGCUAGAAUAACUGUUAGCGCCUUGACGGUAUCUAACCAGAAAGCCACGGCUAACUACGUG
Molecule: ribosomal RNA, 498 nt
Filed under: uncultured bacterium
Lineage: Bacteria
Description: partial 16S ribosomal RNA
Rfam family: Bacterial small subunit ribosomal RNA
Source: RNAcentral